UUAAGCUCGUAGUUGAAGUUGGCUCUGGAUGGCCGGUCCGCCUCACCCGCGNAGUACUGGUCCGGCUGGAGCUUUCCUUCUGGGGAACCUCAUGGCCUUCACUGGCUGUGGGGGGAACCAGGACUUUUACUGUGAAAAAAUUAGAGUGUUCAAAGCAGGCCUUUGCUCUAAUACAUUAGCAUGGAAUAAUAGAAUAGGACGUGCGGUUCUAUUUUGUUGGUUUCUAGGACCGCCAUAAUGAUUAAUAGGGAUAGUCGGGGGCGUCAGUAUUCAGCUGUCAGAGGUGAAAUUCUUGGAUUUGCUGAAGACUAACUACUGCGAAAGCAUUCGCCAAGGAUGUUUUCAUUAAUCAGGGAACGAAAGUUAGGGGAUCNAAGACGAUCANAUACCGUCUUAUUCUUAACCAUAAACUAUGCCGAUUAUGGAUCGGACGGGAUUCUAUUAUGACCUGUUCGGCACCUUACCAGAAAUCACAGUUUUUGGGUUCUGGGGGGAGUAUGGUCGCUUGGCU
This 511-nucleotide ribosomal RNA is filed under the name Penicillium sp. 10d1-CH10. Its description in RNAcentral is "SSU rRNA". It matches the Rfam family "Eukaryotic small subunit ribosomal RNA", at positions 619 to 1138 of the family's 1831-position model. The record is from RNAcentral. Lineage: Eukaryota; Fungi; Ascomycota; Eurotiomycetes; Eurotiales; Aspergillaceae.